Molecule: ribosomal RNA, 468 nt
Filed under: uncultured bacterium
Lineage: Bacteria
Description: partial 16S ribosomal RNA
Rfam family: Bacterial small subunit ribosomal RNA
Source: RNAcentral
GACGAACGCUGGCGGCGUGCUUAACACAUGCAAGUCGAACGGAAAGGCCCUGCUUUUGUGGGGUGCUCGAGUUGCGAACGGGUGAGUAACACGUGAGUAACCUGCCCUUGACUUUGGGAUAACUUCAGGAAACUGGGGCUAAUACCGGAUAGGAGCUCCUGCUGCAUGGUGGGGGUUGGAAAGUUUCGGCGGUUGGGGAUGGACUCGCGCCUUAUCAGCUUGUUGGUGGGGUAGUGGCUGACCAAGGCUUUGAAGGGUAGCCGGCCUGAGAGGGGGACCGGCCACAUUGGGACUGAGAUACGGCACAGACUCCUACGGGAGGCAGCAGUGGGGAAUAUUGCACAAUGGGCGGAAGCCUGAUGCAGCAACGCCGCGUGCGGGAAGACGGCCUUCGGGUUGUAAACCGCUUUCGCCUGUGACGAAGCGUGAGUGACGGUAAUGGGUAAAGAAGCACCGGCUAACUACGUG